RNAcentral lists this ribosomal RNA (440 nucleotides) under uncultured bacterium. Its description in RNAcentral is "bacterial SSU rRNA". It matches the Rfam family "Bacterial small subunit ribosomal RNA", at positions 954 to 1392 of the family's 1533-position model. The record is from RNAcentral.
GCAAAACGCGAAGAACCUUACCUGGACUUGACAUGCAUUUGACCGCUGUAGAAAUAUAGUUUUUUCGCAAGAAACAGAUGCACAGGUGCUGCAUGGCUGUCGUCAGCUCGUGCCGUGAGGUGUUGGGUUAAGUCCCGCAACGAGCGCAACCCUUGUCGUUAGUUGCCAACACGUAAUGGUGGGCACUCUAGCGAGACUGCCUAGGUUAACUAGGAGGAAGGUGAGGAUGACGUCAAGUCCGCAUGGCCUUUAUGUCCAGGGCUACACACGUGCUACAAUGGUCGGUACAGAAGGCAGCGAAGCUGUGAAGCGGAGCAAAUCCUCAAAGCCGGCCCCAGUUCAGAUUGGAGUCUGCAACUCGACUCCAUGAAGAUGGAAUUGCUAGUAAUGGCGGGUCAGCAACACCGCCGUGAACACGUUCCCGGGUCUUGUACACACCG